This 1215-nucleotide ribosomal RNA is filed under the name Triticum aestivum (bread wheat). Its description in RNAcentral is "partial small subunit ribosomal RNA". The record is from RNAcentral. Lineage: Eukaryota; Viridiplantae; Streptophyta; Magnoliopsida; Poales; Poaceae.
AUGGAUGAGUCUACUUUGGGGAGUCGUAGACAUAGAGUGCCUAUUCUUGAUAGAGAGUACUUUCAUGAGUGGAAAAAUGAGAUGCUUGUAAUUUUCAAUCAAUAUAAUUUGAACAAGUACAUUGAUAGUCCUUGUGCACAUUAUGUUGAUCCUAUGCAUCCUACCCUUGAUGAGUCUAUUGACAUGAUUAGGAAUGUUAGAACUGUUAAUCUUAUCACUAGAGGCUUGCCUAGAAACUUGAUUAUAAAACUGCCUACUCUUGAGUGUGCUUACACUAUAUGGAAAUUUCUUGAGGAACGAUUUCCUGAUUAUUCUUUGAAAAAUCUAGAUGAAAUUCUUCAUAAGUCUAUUGCCUUGACUAAGAUGAAUUCCAAUGAUCCUAUGUUUGGUGAUCGUCUAUUUGAACCAACAAAUCUUAUGCGUGCCAAAGGAAAUGUUGGAAUUAUUAGCGAUAUUAUUUCCGAAGCUACUAGAAUUCAUAAGCAAGAUUAUUGUCAAACUCAUACUAAUGAAUCACUCUCCAUAGGAAUUGAUCCACCACAUGACGAUGUUGAACAUGGACACUAUGAUGAGGAUGAUGAGGAUGACUUUGAUCUUGAUGAUGCAAUGAGACAUUUUGGUCUUAUGGAAAACCUUCGGGGAUAUAUGGCAGGAGGAAAGGAAUGGGUCCUUGACAGUGGAUGUACCGAUCACAUGACCAGAAAUAAAGACAUGUUUCAUGAGCUUGCUGAAAAUGAUAGUCCUCGAAAGUAUGUCACUUUCGGUGACAACUCAAAGGGUAAGGUGGUUGGCCUCGGUAAGGUGGCCAUAUCACAUGACAGCUCCAUUCAGAAUGUUAUGCUCGUUGAAUCUCUUGGCUACAACUUACUUUCAGUAUCUAGACUUGCUGAUUUCGGUUUCAAUGUCCUAUUUACUGAAGUAGAUUGCCAAUGUUUCAUCGAGACAAUCAUAAAAUGGUCUUUACCAGCAUACGUAGAGGUGAUCUAUACAUUGUUGAUUUCACUAAAAAAGGCUCAACCUAAAACUUGCUUCAUUGAUAAAUCCUCAAAAGGUUGGUUAUGGCAUAGACGACUAGGUCACGUUGGCAUGAGAAACCUUGACAAGCUUAUUAAAGGGAAUCAUAUCCUUGGUGUUAACGAUGUCAUAUUUGAUAAGGAUAGACUUUGCAGUGCUUGUCAAGCAGGUAAACAGGUUGGAGGAAGGCAUCCCGUGUAG